CAGUCGCCGCGGUAAUACAGAGGUCUCAAGCGUUGUUCGGAUUCAUUGGGCGUAAAGGGUGCGUAGGCGGCGAGGUAAGUCAGAUGUGAAAUCCCGGAGCUUAACUCCGGAACUGCAUUUGAUACUGCCUUGCUUGAGGACUGGAGAGGAGAUCGGAAUUCACGGUGUAGCAGUGAAAUGCGUAGAUAUCGUGAGGAAGGCCAGUGGCGAAGGCGGAUCUCUGGACAGUUCCUGACGCUGAGGCACGAAGGCCAGGGGAGCAAACGGGAUUAGAUACCCGUGUAGUCCCUGUCUCUUAUAC
Molecule: ribosomal RNA, 301 nt
Filed under: uncultured bacterium
Lineage: Bacteria
Description: partial 16S ribosomal RNA
Rfam family: Bacterial small subunit ribosomal RNA
Source: RNAcentral